RNAcentral lists this ribosomal RNA (836 nucleotides) under uncultured marine bacterium. RNAcentral describes it as "bacterial SSU rRNA". It matches the Rfam family "Bacterial small subunit ribosomal RNA", at positions 61 to 945 of the family's 1533-position model. The record is from RNAcentral.
GUCGAACGAAGUAGCAAUACUUAGUGGCAGACGGGUGAGUAACAUGUAGGUAUCUGCCCUUUGGCCUGGAAUAACACGAGGAAACUUGUGCUAAUACCGGAUAAGUCUUUACGGAGAAAGCUUUAUGCACCAUUGGAUGAGCCUGCACUUGAUUAGUUUGUUGGUGGGGUAAUGGCCUACCAAGACUGUGAUCAAUAGCUGAUUUGAGAGGAUGAUCAGCCACAUUGGGACUGAGACACGGCCCAAACUCCUACGGGAGGCAGCAGUGGGGAAUCUUGCACAAUGGAGGAAACUCUGAUGCAGCGAUGCCGCGUGAGUGAAGAAGGCCCUUGGGUUGUAAAGCUCUUCCGUCGGGGAAGAAAAUGACUGUACCCGAAUAAGAAGGUCCGGCUAACUUCGUGCCAGCAGCCGCGGUAAUACGAAGGGACCUAGCGUAGUUCGGAAUUACUGGGCUUAAAGAGUUCGUAGGUGGUUGAAAAAGUUAGUGGUGAAAUCCCAGAGCUUAACUCUGGAACUGCCAUUAAAACUUUUCAGCUAGAGUAUGAUAGAGGGAAGCAGAAUUUCUAGUGUAGAGGUGAAAUUCGUAGAUAUUAGAAAGAAUACCAAUUGCGAAGGCAGCUUUCUGGAUCAUUACUGACACUGAGGAACGAAAGCAUGGGUAGCGAAGAGGAUUAGAUACCCUCGUAGUCCAUGCCGUAAACGAUGUGUGUUAGACGUUGGAAAUUUAUUUUCAGUGUCGCAGCGAAAGCGAUAAACACACCGCCUGGGGAGUACGACCGCAAGGUUAAAACUCAAAUGAAUUGACGGGGACCCGCACAAGUAGUGGAGCAUGUGGU